RNAcentral lists this long non-coding RNA (3184 nucleotides) under Mus musculus (house mouse). Its description in RNAcentral is "long non-coding RNA chr18:34252683-34255867". Lineage: Eukaryota; Metazoa; Chordata; Mammalia; Rodentia; Muridae. The record is from RNAcentral.
AGCUGGAGAGAAGCAGUCAUCUUUGCCCUUCUUUCCCCUGGCUUCACUCCCUUUCUUCAUCCUCACUGUUAUAAUCUGUCUCCCUCUGAACCUGAUGCCUUGCUUCUGUUGUCACGCCCUUUCCUGACUGACCCUUUGUCUUAUUCUGAGGACAUAUGUGGUAACAUUGGUUCUGCCAGAGUUCAGAAGAAUUUGCUGCACAGGCCUUACUAAUCACCUCUGCAAAGUCCUCGUAGCCAAGGACGGCCAUGUGGUUAUGGGCUUGGGAGAUGACGGUGCGCACAGCUUCCUGGAUUGCCAUUGUGUUGCCACAGGUGUCCUAACACAGCUUUUUUUCCUUGAAGCAUUUUAAAAAUUAAUUUUGAAAAUCAUUCUUUUGUGAAUGAGUGUUUUUCUGUAUAUUAACUACUUAGGACUUAGUCUAUGAUAGAAACUGAAAGACUUUUUGCAGCACCUUUUAUGGACUUUCCAAUCAACUCCAGCCUCUUUAUACUAUCUAACCACAUGCACAGUGGUGUUUAUAUCUCUCCCUCCCUGGUUUCCGUGAUUCCUCUAUAUGUGAGGUAGGUGUGUGUGUGUGUGUGUGUGCGUGUGUGUGUAUGUCUGUGUCUAUGUCUGUGUGACUGAUGUGUGUGUGUGUGUGUGUGUGUGUGUGUGUGUGUGUGUGUGUACACACACACAUAUAUAGUAUUCCUGUUAUUGAACUUGGGAGUCACAACCGGUGCCCCAGGUUGGGUCUGGUCACCCAUCCUUAGUGAUUAAAAGCCAAUUGAAAGAACCAAAUUGAAAGUGGAAGCAGAAGACUUCUUCAGUGUGGCCACAUUGGGAAGAGAGAGAUGUGACUCCCUCCCCCAUCCAUCUUCUCUGUCCUGGAUUGACACAAGGACAGGUCACCCAUGAUGGUAGGAUUUGUACAUCUAAGCAGUUCAGGUCAGUUAUGUGACCACUACCAUCAUGGGUGACCUGUCUUUGUCUGGACUUUAGUCUCAUUCUGUAAUCUGAAAAGUUUUUACAACUAUGUGGAAUCUCUUUCCAGGGGACAAGUUUCCCUCUGCUUCUUCCAUCAUGAGAUUCUUGAGAAAUUUCUAUUUCUUUGAGGAUCCCUAUUUCAAUAGUAUGAUAGUCAGACGGAAAGACAUGGGUAUCCCUUUUGUAAUAUCCUCAUUUCUGCCACAUCUGUUGCCUUUCUUUCCUGGAAUACAUUUGUAUUGAUGUCUGCUGUGGUCUGACAGAUGAAGCAGUUGUGAGCCAAGAGAACAGUAGGUGGCGCACACAGUCUGAUAGGUCCUUUUCAAGGAGUAGUCUCCUGCCCCCCAAAUUCCAGUUGACCAGAACAAGGGACAUAUUAGCUUAUCUUUUAUAAUAUUUUCCCAGAGCUAUUUUAACAAAGUGCCACAGACUGGUGGUUUAGAACAUUAGGAAUCCCUGAUUUUACUCUUUUGGAGACCAGAAUAUUAGAAAGAUUCUUUCUGAAGACUCCAAGGAAGAACCUGUCUCUUUCUUAGUUUUUGAUGCUUGCUGACAUCCAUUACCUCACAGCUGAGUCCUCAGCCUGUCUCCAUUGUCAGACAGUAUCCCUACUGUGUGUCUACUUGUAUCUGUUUAGUCACAUGGCCUUGAAUUGCAUCAGUCAUUCAUUUAGAUCCCUUUUUAAUACAAUAUCUUAGCUUUAUUACUAUGCAGAGACCCUGUCUCCAAAAGGUUCAUAUCUAUAGAUUCCUAUGACUCAAGCACAACCCAAACCAUUGUUGGAAAUGAAAGUUAGCAACACAUAAAAGAACACACAAAGCAGAAAUAGUUUUCCAAGGUGAUUUUUUUUCUUUUUGUAAAAAGGGUAGGUACCAGAGCCCAACCCCUGCUAGCCAUCGUACUCUGAAAGUGAAAACCAGCAGCUGGGCUUGCCCCUGACUUAGAUGGAGACUGCAUCUCUUCCCACUGAUGGAGCUUGGCUUUGUAGUCUGACAUGAUUGGUGCUGUCAGCACAGAGUGGAAGGGGCGUAACUACUUUUGAUAGGAAAAGGUUUCUUAUACCACUAACCCCCACCCCCUUAUAAUACUAGUUGAUAGUGUAUGGAUAAGAAGUUAUCAGAUAUUUUUUAUUCCAUUAUGUAGCCACAGAGAGGAAUCCAUUAUGCUUUAAUGGAAGAUAAUCUUUUUGUUUUUCUUUGACUUUGUCUUGCUUUCUGUUUGUUUGCUUCUGUAACUGAAAGGGCAUUUCAUGUCUGUUUUUCUCAUGCAUUUAUCUUCUGUGUGACUAGAAUUGGGAAGAUUUUUUGUGGAAUUACAGAAGCUGUGUGUUACAUACAGGCCUCUCCUAAAGAUGUGUGUGUGCGUGUGUGUGUGCACGUGUGUGCGUAUGUGUGCACGAGCGCGUGUGCUUGCGCUUGCCUUAGCUGGGGAGACAAAACAUGUCAAAGUAAAAUAGAGUGCAGUUAGGCCAAGGUUUGUCAUAUUUACCACUCCUUUGGCAGGAGUGUGCAGUGUGGACUACAAUUGUCAGGAAGGCUUUGUGUGAGGCAGCUGAUCUGGACCUAAAAGAAUAAGAUGCAUCCUAACAAAGCAGAGGAGGAAACAGCCUGGCAUCCACAGAGGACGUUAAAGUACAUACAUGCAUACAUGCACACACACACUCCAAAGGUACUCUCAAUUCUUUUCUAGACUUAUGAAAAUUAGUCAGGUUCCUGAAUACCAAGCAAACUUUAAAAAAGCUAAUACCAGUGGUUUCCACACACAGUCUGUGGCCAGUCUCAAAGGCAGCAGUCAGUGACAGUAAAAGGACUGGUUCUUUGUACCUUGUAGAGAAGUCAUUGAAGGAACAAAAGACCAGACAAACAUGAAGGAGAAAAAAGGAUGAAGAAGUUUAAAAUGGCAGAAUAUGUGUAGUGUUGACAGUGUGCUUAGACAGCUAGAGGAGACAAGUUGGCAUAAAGCACAAGAAGGCCGACCUCUGAAGACAUUUCUACAACAGUUUAAAGAGUCUUUCUUCCCAGAGGGAACUUUCCGAUUUCAAGCCUGGCUGAGUUUCACAGCUUAGUAUUCAAACUGUUUCAGACCACAUUAAAAAAUGAGACAUGCACCACUUCAUUUUAUGGAUGUAGCAUAAUCUUCAUUCAAAAUCUUAAGGCACACAUACAUACAUGCAUGCAUACAUACAUACAUGCAUACAGGGUCUCAUAAAAUACUG